Molecule: non-coding RNA, 155 nt
Filed under: Desulfopila aestuarii
Lineage: Bacteria; Pseudomonadati; Thermodesulfobacteriota; Desulfobulbia; Desulfobulbales; Desulfocapsaceae
Also listed under: 1 other name
Description: FMN sequence
Rfam family: FMN riboswitch aptamer (RFN element)
About the family: The RFN element is a highly conserved domain that is found frequently in the 5'-untranslated regions of prokaryotic mRNAs that encode for flavin mononucleotide (FMN) biosynthesis and transport proteins. This element is a metabolite-dependent riboswitch that directly binds FMN in the absence of proteins.
Source: RNAcentral
AACUAUUCUCAGGGCGGGGUGAAAUUCCCCACCGGCGGUGAUUUCCGAUGUAUGACGGAAACAGCCCGCGAGCGCCUGCGGCAUUUGCCCAGGGUCAAGCAGAUCUGGUGUGAUUCCAGAGCCGACGGUUAGAGUCCGGAAGAGAGAGGAUAGCU